This 43501-nucleotide long non-coding RNA is filed under the name Hordeum vulgare. Its description in RNAcentral is "long non-coding RNA (HVUL_LNC010906)". Lineage: Eukaryota; Viridiplantae; Streptophyta; Magnoliopsida; Poales; Poaceae. The record is from RNAcentral.
AACCUCUCUGUCCUUAUUACUUCUUAUUAAUUGCAACAAUGAUUGAGGUCUAUGUUGGUCUAUCUCAACAAGUUUCAAUCAUCAUACUUGUUAUAAGUGAAGCUAUCACUUUCCAUAAUAUCAUCUCAUGAUCUCUCAUGCUAUCGUUCUUUUCAUACUUUUGAUCACGGCACAAAACAAAGCCCUUGACUAAGAUACUCUUUAUUAUAUAGCUCGCAAGCUCGAAUACAUCGGGGGAGAGACAAAAGUAAAAGACUCAAUCUAAAACAGUAAAGACUUAUUCCACUAAGAGAAGAAAUAAAAACUGAAAAGGAAAGGACUAAAACAAAGGUAAAAGCAAAAGAUAUAAAGGUGAUACGAUACCAGGGCAACUCCCCCAAGCUUGGCAAAAGCCAAGGGGAUUGCCCAUACCAAUGCUUAGUUGUCUUCCUUUGGUGGUGAUGGUGGUGGUGUUGUUGAAGUAGUCUUGAGCUUGUCUAAUUUCCACUUGAGCAAAAAGUUCUGCUCCCUCAGAUCGUCAUUUUCCUCCGCAAGCUUCAACACUCUAUGACAAAGUUCCUGCUUACUCUCGUGCAAGAAACGAGAAGGGAUAAACAAGGUCUUAGGCUUCUUCCUUUGGUCAGGGAGGCUUGACUUCUUGAACUCCACGUGAGUGCAUCCAGGUUGGGGUAAAGGAGCCUCCUCUUCAUCGGAACUCGUUUGUUCCUUCCCCUUGGGCUCAUAGUCCUCUUCCUCGUCAGUAGUCCAGCCAUAAGGCUCCAAGUCCCCAUUAAUCCUGGAGUUAGCAUGAUCAUCGGCCAUAUAGAUCUCUUCUUCUGAAUCUUGAGAAGACAUCUUGACCUAAAUCUGCGGCAGACAACAUGCUCGAAACAUCUUGACCUAAAACUGCACGAUACGGAGAUCAAAACCAUCUGGACCAGAAGGAGUGCUCCGCAAGAAAACAGAGUCCGGGAGGCACACGAGCUGCCGACAAGCCCUGUUGCCGCGGCCAGGGGGGAGGCCGCGGCAACCAAGCUUGUGGCCGCCUCCUGCGCUCUCCAGACUGCUUUUUAUUUUUCUAAUUUUCCAUAAAUUCCAAAACGGAGAAAAAUUCCUAUUGGAAAAGUUUCGGAGUCCAAUUACUUACUGAGACAUAUACCUCUUGGUUUUUAGGGUCUCAAACAGGCUGAUAAACAUCCCUUAUGUACUCCUCUGGAGUUAUGAUAUUGAUGAUAUUGGUCUCAACAUUUAUGGGAGUACCAGAGAUAUAAUGCUUGAUUCUUUGCCCAUUUACCACUCUAGGAAAAUUGCCUUCCGUAUUACUGAUUUUGAUGGCACCGGAAUGAUAUACUUCCUCGACAAUGUAGGGACCUUCCCAUUAAGAGAGAAGCUUGCCUGCGAAGAAUCUCAAACGAGAAUUGUAUAGUAGGACAUAGUGACCUACAUUGAACUCUCGUUUUUGUAUUCUUUUAUCGUGCCAUCUCUUAACCUUUUCCUUGAACAACUUGGCAUUCUCGUAUGCCUGGGCCCUCCAUUCAUCUAAUGAGCUGAUAUCAAACAAUCGCUUCUCACCGGCAAGUUUGAAAUCAAAGUUGAGCUCUUUGAUUGCCCAAUAAGCUUUGUGUUCCAGCUCAAGAGGUAAAUGAGAAGCCUUACCGUAAACCAUUUUAUACGGUGACAUGCCCAUGGGAUUCUUAUAAGCAGUCCUAUAAGCCCAUAGUGCAUCGUCAAGUUUGCUAGACCAAUUCUUUUGAGAUCUAUUCACGGUCUUUUGUAAGAUCAAUUUGAUCUCCCUAUUACUCAACUCCACUUGACCACUAGACUGAGGAUGAUAAGGAGAUGCAACUCUAUGGUUGACAUCGUACUUAGCGAGCAUCUUGCGGAAAACACCAUGAAUGAAGUGUGAACCGCCAUCAGUCAUCAGAUAUCUAGGGACUCCAAAUCUUGGGAAAAUGUCUUCUUUAAGCAUCUUAAUAGAGGUGUGGUGAUCAACAUUUUUAGUGGGGAUAGCUUCUACCCACUUAGUGACGUAGUCCACAGCAAGUAAGAUGUGAGUGUAUCCAUUGGAGCUCGGGAAGGGUCCCAUAUAAUCAAAGCCCUAGACAUCAAAUGGUUCAAUGACCAGUGAAUAGUUCAUAGGCAUUUUCUGACGCUUACUGAUGUUCCCUAUUCUUUGGCAUUCGUCACAAGACAGUACAAACUUACGGGCAUCCUUGAAGAGUGUGGGCCAAUAGAAAUCUGAUUGCAAUACCUUAUGAGUUGUUCUGUCUCCAGCAUGGUGUCCUCUGUAAGCCUCGGAAUGACACUUCUUCAGGAUCUGUCCCUGUUCAUGUUCAGGCACACAAUGUCUAAUAACACCAUCUACUCCUUCCUUAUAGAGGUGAGGAUCAUCCCAAAAGUAGUGUCUCAAAUCAAAGAAGAAUUUCUUCUUUUGCUGGUAGGUGAAACUGGGUGGUAUGUAUUGGCUACGAUAUAGUUUGCGUAAUCAGCAUACCAUGGUGCACUAUGUGAAGUGCGGAUGACAUUCAAUUGCUCAUCAGGAAAGCUGUCAUCAAUAGGUCGUGGUGUUGGGGAACGUCGCAAGGGAAACAAAAAAUUUCCUACGCGCACGAAGACCUAUCAUGGUGAUGUCCAUCUACGAGAGGGGAUGAGUGAUCUACGUACCCUAGUAGAUCGUACAGCAGAAGCGUUUAGAGAACGCGGUUGAUGUAGUGGAACGUCCUCACGUCCCUCGAUCCGCCCCGCGAACAAUCCCGCGAUCAGUCCCACGAUCUAGUACCGAACGGACGGCACCUCCGCGUUCAGCACACGUACAGCUCGACGAUGAUCUCGGCCUUCUUGAUCCAGCAAGAGAGACGGAGAGGUAGAAGAGUUCUCCGGCAGCGUGACGGCGCUCCGGAGGUUGGUGAUGAUCUUGUCUCAGCAGGGCUCUGCCCGAGCUCCGCAGAAACACGAUCUAGAGGAAAAACUAUGGAGGUAUGUGGUCGGGCAGCCGUGAGAAAGUCGUCUCAAAUCAGCCCUAAUACCUCAGUAUAUAUAGGAGGGAGGGGGAGGGAAGAGGCAGCCUCAAACCCUCAAGGUUUGGCCGAAAUUGGAGGUGGAGGAGUCCUACUCCAAUCCUACUUGGAGUAGGAUUCCACCUUCCCACUUGAAAACUCUUUCCACCUUGUGUUUUUUCCUUCUCAAACCUUAUGGGCCUUAGUGGGAACUUAUUCCAGCCCACUAGGGGCUGGUUUAUCUCUUCCCAUAGCCCAUGAUACCCCUUGGGGCGUGACACCCCUCCCGAUGGUCCCCGGCACCCCUCCCGGCACUCCCGGUACACUACCGAUGAGCCCGAAACUUUUCCGGUGACCAAAACAGGACUUCCUAUAUAUCAAUCUUUACCUCCGGACCAUUCCGGAGCUCCUCGUGACGUCCUGCAUCUCAUCCGGGACUCCGAACAACAUUCGGUAACCAACCAUAUAACUCAAAUACGCAUAAAACAACGUCGAACCUUAAGUGUGCAGACCCUGCGGGUUCGAGAACUAUGUAGACAUGACCCGAGAGACUCCUCGGUCAAUAUCCAAUAGCGGGACCUAGAUGCCCAUAUUGGAUCCUACAUAUUCUACGAAGAUCUUAUCGUUUGAACCUCAGUGCCAAGGAUUCAUAUAAUCCCGUAUGUCAUUCCCUUUGUCCUUCGGUAUGUUACUUGCCCGAGAUUCGAUCGUCAGUAUCCGCAUACCUAUUUCAAUCUCGUUUACCGGCAAGUCUCUUUACUCGUUCCGUAAUACAAGAUCCCGCAACUUACAUUAAGUUACAUUGCUUGCAAGGCUUGUGUGUGAUGUUGUAUUACCGAGUGGGCCCCGAGAUACCUCUCCGUCACACGGAGUGACAAAUCCCAGUCUCGAUCUAUACUAACUCAACGAACACCUUCGGAGAUACCUGUAGAGCAUCUUUAUAGUCACCCAGUUACGUUGCAACGUUUGAUACACACAAAGCAUUCCUCCGGUGUCCGUGAGUUAUAUGAUCUCAUGGUCAUAGGAACAAAUACUUGACACGCAGAAAACAGUAGCAACAAAAUGACACGAUCAACAUGCUACGUCUAUUAGUUUGGGUCUAGUCCAUCACAUGAUUCUCCUAAUGAUGUGAUCCCGUUAUCAACUGACAACACUUGCCUAUGGCCAGGAAACCUUGACCAUCUUUGAUCAACGAGCUAGUCAACUAGAGGCUUAAUAGGGACAGUGUUUUGUCUAUGUAUCCACACAAGUAUUGUGUUUCCAAUCAAUACAAUUAUAGCAUGGAUAAUAAAAGAUUAUCAUGAACUAAGAAAUAUAAUAAUAACUAAUUUAUUAUUGCCUCUAGGGCAUAUUUCCAACACGUGGGUCAUCAAGGACAUUCUCUAGCCUAGACAAGUUAUCUGCUACAGGGUUAUCAACACCCUUUCGGUCAACAACAUGCAAAUCAAAUUCCUGUAGCAGAAGAACCCAUCUGAUUAGCCUAGGCUUAGCGUCCUUCUUCUCCAUGAGGUACUUAAUAGCAGCAUGAUCAGAGUGAAUAAUGACUUUGGAGUCAACUAUAUAAGAUCUGAACUUUUCACAUGCAAAUACGACUGCUAAAAACUCCUUCUCCGUAGUGGCAUAGUUUCUUUGGGCACUGUCUAGAGUUUUACUAGUGUAGUGAAUGACAUUCAACUUCUUGUCAACUAUUUGUCCUAGAACAGCACCAACAACAUAAUCACUAGCAUCGCACAUGAUUUCAAAGGGCAAGUUCCAUUCUGGUGGUUGAACAAUAGGUGCGGUUAUCAAGGCCUUCUUAAGUAUUUCGAAAGCUUCCUCACAAUCCUCAUCAAAAACAAAAGGAACAUCCUUCUGCAAGAGGUUGGUAAGAGGCCUAGAAAUCUUAGAAAAGUCUUUAAUGAACCUUCUAUAGAAACCAGCAUGACCUAGGAAACUCCGUAUACCUCUGAUAUCUGUGGGGCAAGGCAUUUUCUCAAUUGCAUCAACCUUAGCCUUAUCAACUUCAAUGCCUCUCUCAGAGAUUUUGUGUCCUAAGAUGAUGCCUUCAUUAACCAUGAAGUGGCACUUCUCCCAGUUCAAGACGAGGUUGGUAUCUUUGCAUCUCUGUAAGACUCGAUCAAGGUUGCUGAGGCAAUCGUCAAAGGAAGAACCGUAGACGGAGAAAUCAUCCAUGAAAACCUCAACAAUAUUUUCACAAAAGUCGGAGAAUAUAGCCAUCAUACAUCUUUGAAAGGUGGCUGGUGCAUUGCACAAGCCAAAAGGCAUGCGUCUACAAGCGAAUGUACCAAAGGGGCAUGUGAAGGUGGUUUUCUCUUGAUCAGAUUGUGCAACAGGUAUUUGCGAGAAACCUGAAUAACCGUCUAGAAAGGAGAAGUGUGUGUGUUUAGAUAGCCUUUCUAGCAUCAGGUCAAUAAACGGCAAAGGAUAAUGGUCUUUCCUAGUUGCCGUGUUCAGUUUCCGGAAGUCUAUCACCAUCCUAUAGCCAGUAAUAAUCCUGUGCGGGAUUAGUUCAUCCUUAUCAUUAGGAACGACAGUGAUACCUCCCUUCUUAGGUACGCAAUGUACUGGACUUACCCAAUCACUAUGAGCAACAGGAUAAAUGAUUCCUGCUUCAAGAAGCUUUAAUAUUUAUUUUCUCACGACCUCUUUCAUCCUAGGAUUUAAUCUCCUUUGAUGAUCAGCAACUGGCUUAGAAUCAGGAUCGGUUUUAAUCUUGUGCUGACAUAGAGUGGGACUAAUACCCUUAAGAUCAUCAAGAGUAUAUCCAAUAGCCUCACGGUGCUUCCUCAAAGUUUUAAUAACUUCUUCUCUUCGUGAUUCGAGAGGUGAGCACUAAUAAUAACAGGAUAUAUCUCCUUCUCAUCAAGAUAAGCAUACUUAAGAGUAUAUGGUAACUGUUUUAGCUCGAACACAGGAUCACCCUUUGGUGGGGGAGGAUCCUCAAGCAGUUCAACAGGCAGAUUAUUCUUGAGAAUAGGAUAUUGUUCUAAAACAAUUUUAUCUAUCUCAUCUCUUUCCUCCAUAUGCAUAUCAUUUUCAUGCUCAAGCAGAUAUUGCUCUAAAGGAUCCGUAGGAGGUACGGCAAUAGAGGCAAGAGCAAUGAUUUCAUCCCUACCAGACGACUCUUUUUCAUGGGGUUGUCUUCCAAACUUGGAGAAGUUAAAUUCAUGAGACACACCUUCGAAAGUAACAGUGACAGUCUGUUUAAUGCAAUCAAUGUGAGCAUUGACAGUGUUGAGAAAGGGUCUACCAAAUAUGAUGGGACAAAAGCUAUCUUGUGCAGUACCAAGGACGAGGAAAUCAGUAGGAUACUUUGUCUUACCACACAGGACUUCUAUGUCUCUCACAAUUCCUAGAGGGCAAAUAGUGUCUCUAUCAGCUAGCAUAAUAGUGACAUCAAUCGGUUCUAACUCAGCAGGUGCAAUCUCAUCUUUGAUUUUGUUGGGGAACGUCGCAAGGGAAACAAAAAUUUUCCUACGCGCACGAAGACCUAUCAUGGUGAUGUCCAUCUACGAGAGGGGAUGAGUGAUCUACGUACCCUUGUAGACCGUACAAAAGAAGCGUUAGAGAACGCGGUUGAUGUAGUGGAACGUCCUCACGUCCCUCGAUCCGCCCCGCGAACAAUCCCGCGAUCAGUCCCACGAUCUAGUACCGAACGGACGGCACCUCCACGUUCAGCACACGUACAGCUUGACGAUGAUCUCGGCCUUCUUGAUCCAGCAAGAGAGACGGAGAGGUAGAAGAGUUCUCCGGCAGCGUGACGGCGCUCCGGAGGUUGGUGAUGACCUUGUCUCAGCAGGGCUCCGCCCGAGCUCCGCAGAAACGCGAUCUAGAGGAAAAACCGUGGAGGUAUGUGGUCGGGCUGCCGUGGAAAAGUCGUCUCAAAUCAGCCCUAAAACCUCCGUAUAUAUAGGUGGGAGGGAGGGGGCCUUGCCUUGGGGUCCAAGGACCCUCAAGGGGGUCGGCCGAGCCAAGGGGGAGGACUCUCCCCCCCAAAACCGAGUUGGACUAGGUUUGGUGGGAGGGAGUCCCCCUCCCUUCCCACCUCCUCCUUUUUUUUCCUUUGAUUUCUUAUCCUUGGCGCAUAGGGCCCUUUUGGGCUGCCCCACCAGCCCACUAAGGGCUGGUGCUCCACCCUUAUGGCCUAUGGGCUUCCCCGGGGUGGGUUGCCCCCCCCCGGUGAACUCCCGGAACCCAUUCGUCAUUCCCGGUACAUUCCCGGUAACUCCGAAAACCUUCCGGUAAUCAAAUGAGGUCAUCCUAUAUAUCAAUCUUCGUUUCCGGACCAUUCCGGAAACCCUCGUGACGUCCGUGAUCUCAUCCGGGACUUCGAACAACAUUCGGCAACCAACCAUAUAACUCAAAUACGCAUAAAACAACGUCGAACCUUAAGUGUGCAGACCUUGCGGGUUCGAGAACUAUGUAGACAUGACCCGAGAGACUACUCGGUCAAUAUGCAAUAGCGGGACCUGGAUGCCCAUAUUGGAUCCUACAUAUUCUACGAAGAUCUUAUCGUUUGAACCUCAGUGCCAAGGAUUCGUAUAAUCCCGUAUGUCAUUCCCUUUGUCCUUCGGUAUGUUACUUGCCCGAGAUUCGAUCGUCAGUAUCCGCAUACCUAUUUCAAUCUCGUUUACCGGCAAGUCUCUUUACUCGUUCCGUAAUACAAGAUCCCGCAACUUACACUAAGUUACAUUGCUUGCAAGGCUUGUGUGUGAUGUUGUAUUACCGAGUGGGCCCCGAGAUACCUCUCCGUCACACGGAGUGACAAAUCCCAGUCUUGAUCCAUACUAACUCAACUAACACCUUCGGAGAUACCUGUAGAGCAUCUUUAUAGUCACCCAGUUACGUUGCGACGUUUGAUACACACAAAGCAUUCCUCCGGUGUCAGUGAGUUAUAUGAUCUCAUGGUCAUAGGAAUAAAUACUUGACACGCAGAAAACAGUAGCAACAAAAUGACACGAUCAACAUGCUACAUCUAUUAGUUUGGGUCUAAUCCAUCACGUGAUUCUCCCAAUGACGUGAUCCAGUUAUCAAGCAACAACACCUUGUUCAUAAUCAGAAGACACUGACUAUCAUUGACUAACUGGCUAGCCAACUAGAGGCAUGCUAGGGACGGUGUUUUGUCUAUGUAUCCACACAUGUAAAUGAGUCUUCAUUCAAUACAAUUAUAGCAUGGAUAAUAAACUAUUAUCUUGAUACAGGAAUUAUAAUAAUAACUACAUUUAUUAUUGCCUCUAGGGCAUAAUUCCAACAGUCUCCCACUUGCACUAGAGUCAAUAAUCCAGCCCUCACAUCACCAUGUGAAUUACAUUGUAAUAAAUCUAACACCCAUACAGUUCUGGUGUCGAUCAUGUUUUGGCCGUGGAAGAGGUUUAGUCAGCGGGUCUGCUACAGUCAGAUCCGUGUGCACUUUGCAUAUAUUCACGUCCUCUUCCUCGACGUAGUCGCGGAUGAGGUUGAAGCGUCGUUUGAUGUGUCUAGUCUUCUUGUGAAAACGCGGUUCCUUUGCUAAGGCAAUGGCACCCGUGUUGUCACAGAACAAGGUUAUUGGAUCCAGUGCACUUGGCACCACUCCAAGAUCCGUCAUGAACUGCUUCAUCCAGACACCCUCCUUAGUUGCCUCCGAGGCAGCCAUGUACUCCGCUUCACAUGUAGAAUCUGCUACGACGCUUUGCUUGGAACUGCACCAGCUUACUGCACCCCCAUUAAGAAUAAAUACGUAUCCGGUUUGCGACUUAGAGUCGUCCGGAUCUGUGUUAAAGCUUGCAUCGAUGUAACCUUUUACGGCGAGCUCUUCGUCACCUCCAUACACGAGAAACAUCUCCUUAGUCCUUUUCAGGUACUUCAGGAUAUUCUUGACCGUUGUCCAGUGAUCCACUCCUGGAUUACUCUGGAACCUACCUGCCAUACUUAUGGCCAGGCUAACAUCCGGUCUAGUGCACAGCAUCGCAUACAUGAUAGAACCUAUGGCUGAAGCAUAGGGGACGGAGCGCAUAUGCUCUCUAUCUUCAUCAGUUGCUGGGCACUGAGUCUUACUCAAUCUCGUACCUUGUAAAACUGGCAAGAACCCUUUCUUGGAUUGUUCCAUUUUGAACCUCUUCAAAACUUUAUCAAGGUAUGUGCUUUGUGAAAGUCCUAUCAGGCGUUUUGAUCUAUCCCUAUAGAUCUUAAUGCCUAGAUUGUAAGCAGCUUCUCCUAGGUCCUUCAUAGAGAAACUUUUAUUCAAGUAACCUUUUAUGCUCUCCAAAAGCUCUACGUUGUUUCCAAUCAGUAAUAUGUCAUCCACAUAUAAUAUUAGAAACGCCACAGAGCUCCCACUCACUUUCUUGUAAAUACAAGAUUCUCCAACCACUUGUAUAAACCCAAAUGCUUUGAUCACCUCAUCAAAGCGUUUGUUCCAACUCCGAGAUGCUUGCACCAGUCCAUAAAUGGAUCGCUGGAGCUUGCACACCUUGUCAGCAUUUUUAGGAUCGACAAAACCUUCGGGUUGCAUCAUAUACAACUCUUCCUUAAGGAAACCGUUAAGGAACACCGUUUUGACAUCCAUCUGCCAGAUUUCAUAAUCGAAAAAUGCAGCUAUUGCUAACAUGAUUCUGACGGACUUAAGCAUCGCUACGGGUGAGAAAGUCUCAUCGUAGUCAACUCCUGGAACUUGUGAAAAACCCUUUGCCACAAGUCGAGCUUUAUAAACGGUCACAUUACCGUCAGCGUCCGUCUUCUUCUUAAAGAUCCAUUUGUUCUAAAUAGCCUUGCGGCCCUCAGGUAGUAUCUCCAAAGUCCACACUUUGUUCUCAUAAAUGGAUCCUAUCUCGGAUUUCAUGGCUUCUAGCCAUUUGUUGGAAUCUGGGCCCACCAUUGCUUCUUCAUAAUUUGCAGGUUCAUUGUUGUCUAACAACAUGAUUGAUAAGACGGGAUUACCGUACCACUCUGGAGCAGCGCGUGAUCUCGUCGACCUGCGUGGUUCAACAGAAACUUGAACUGGAGUUUCAUGAUCAUCAUCAUUAACUUCCUCCUCAACCGGCGUCGCAACGACAGAGGUUUCCCCUUGCCCUGCGCCACUAUCCAGAGGGAUGAGAGGUUCGACAACCUCGUCAAGUUCUAUCUUCCUCCCACUCAAUUCUCUCGAGAGAAACUCCUUCUCGAGAAAAGCUCCGUUUUUAGCAACAAACACUUUGCCCUCGGAUUUGAGAUAGAAGGUGUACCCAACUGUCUCUUUUGGGUAACCUAUGAAGACGCACUUUUCCGCUUUGGGUUCCAGCUUUUCAGGCUGAAGCUUUUUGACAUAAGCAUCACAUCCCCAAACUUUAAGAAACGACAACUUUGGCCUUUUGCCGUACCACAGUUCGUAUGGUGUCGUCUCAACGGAUUUUGAUGGUGCCCUAUUUAAAGUGAAUGCAGCUGUUUCUAAUGCAUAACCCCAAAAUGAUAACGGCAAAUCAGUAAGAGACAUCAUAGAUCGCACCAUCUCUAACAAAGUACGAUUACGACGUUCGGACACACCAUUACGCUGUGGUGUUCCAGGCGGUGUUAACUGCGAAACAAUUCCACAUUGUCUUAAGUGAGCACCAAACUCGAAACUCAGAUAUUCACCCCCACGAUCAGACCGUAGGAACUUGAUCUUCUUGUUACGAUGAUUUUCCACUGCAUUCUGAAAUUGCUUGAACCUUUCAAAUGUUUCAGACUUGUGCUUCAUCAAGUAGACAUAACCAUAUCUACUUAAAUCGUCAGUGAAGGUGAGAAAAUAACGAUAUCCGCCGCGUGCCUCUACGCUCAUUGGACCACACACAUCGGUAUGUAUGAUUUCCAACAAGUCACUUGCACGCUCCAUUGUUCCGGAGAACGGAGUCUUAGUCAUCUUGCCCAUGAGGCAUGGUUCGCACGUGUCAAGUGAAUCAAAGUCAAGUGACUCCAAAAGUCCAUCAGCAUGGAGUUUCUUCAUGCGCUUUACACCAAUAUGACCUAAACGGCAGUGCCACAAAAAUAUGGCGCUAUCAUUGUUUACUCUAACUCUUUUGGUCUCAAUGUUAUGUAUAUGCGUAUCGCUAUCAAGAUUCAAUAUGAACAAUCCUCUCACAUUCGGUGCAUGACCAUAAAAGAUGUUACUCAUAGAAAUAGAACAACCAUUAUUCUCAGACUUAAAAGAGUAACCGUCUCGCAAUAAACAAGAUCCAGAUAUAAUGUUCAUGCUCAACGCAGGCACUAAAUAACAAUGAUUUAAGUUCAUCACUAAUCCCGAUGGUAGCUGAAGUGACACUGUGCCGACGGCGAUUGCAUCAACCUUGGAACCAUUUCCUACGCGCAUCGUCACUUCAUCUUUCGCCAGCCUUCGUCUAUUCCGCAGUUCUUGUUUCGAGUUGCAAAUGUGAGCAACAGAACCGGUAUCGAAUACCCUGGCACUACUACGAGAGCCGGUUAAGUACACAUCAAUAACAUGUAUAUCAAAUAUACCUGAUUUUUCUUUGCCCGCCUUCUUAUCUGCCAGAUACUUGGGGCAAUUGCGCUUCCAGUGACCCAUACCCUUGCAAUAGAAGCACUCUGUUUCAGGCUUAGGUCCAGCCUUGGGUUUCUUCGGCGGAUUGGCAACAGGCUUGCCGAUCUUCUUCGAAUUGCCCUUCUUGCCUUUGCCGUUUCUCUUGAAACUAGUGGUCUUGCUCACCAUCAACACUUGAUGCUCUUUACGGAGUUCAGACUCUGCGACUUUCAGCAUCGCAAACAACUCGCCGGGAGACUUGUUCAUCCCUUGCAUGUUGUAGUUCAACACAAAGCCUUUAUAGCUUGGUGGCAGUGAUUGAAGGAUUCUGUCAGUGAUAGCUUCUUGCGGGAGUUCAAUCCCCAGUUCAGCUAGACGGUUUCAGUACCCAGACAUUUUGAGCACAUGUUCACUGACAGACGAGUUUUCCUCCAUCUUGCAAGCAUAGAAUUUAUCGGAGGUCUCAUACCUCUCGAUCCGGGCGUUCUUCUGAAAGAUAAACUCCAACUCCUGGAACAUCUCAAAUGCUCCAUGGCGCUCAAAGCGACGUUGAAGUCCCGGUUCUAAGCCAUACAAGACUGCACAUUGAACUAUUGAGUAGUCCUCCUUACGUGCUAACCAAGCGUUCUUAACAUCCUGAUCAGCCGUAGCGGGUGGUUCAUCUCCUAGCGCAGCAUUAAGGACAUAAUCCUUCUUCCCAGCUUGUAAGAUUAGCUUAAGAUUACGAGCCCAGUCUACAAAGUUGCUUCCAUCAUCUUUCAACUUAGCUUUCUCUAGGAACGUAUUAAAAUUCAGGAUGACAGUCGCGUGAGCCAUGAUCUACAACACAAAUAUAUUCAAAGUGGACUUAGACUAUGUUCAAGAUAAUUAGAGUUCAACUUAAUCAAAUUAUAUGCUAAACUCCCACUCAAAAAGUACAUCUCUCUAGUCAUUUGAGUGGUUCAUGAUCCACUUACACUAUCCCAAGUCCGAUCAUCACGUGAGUUGAGUAUAGUUUCAGUGGUAAGCAUCCCUAUGCUAAUCAUAUCAACUAUAUGAUUCAUGAUCGACCUUUCGGUCUCAUCUGUUCCGAGGCCAUGUCUGCACAUGCUAGGCUCGUCAAGCUUAAUCCGAGUGUUCCGCGUGCGCAACUGUUUUGCACCCGUUGUAUGUGAACGUUGAGUCUAUCACACCCGAUCAUCACGUGGUGUCUCGAAACGACGAACUGUAGCAACGGUGCACAGUCGGGGAGAACACAAUUUCGUCUUGAAAUUUUAGUGAGAGAUCACCUCAUAAUGCUACCGUCGUUCUAAGCAAAAUAAGGUGCAUAAAAGGAUUACCAUCACAUGCAAUUCAUAAGUGACAUGAUAUGACCAUCAUCACGUGCUUCUUGAUCUCCAUCACCAAAGCACCGGCACGAUCUUCUUGUCACCGGCGCCACACCAUGAUCAUCCAUCAACGUGUUGCCAUCGGGGUUGUCGUGCUACUUAUGCUAUUACUACUAAAGCUACAUCCUAGCAAAAUAGUAAACGCAUCUGCAAGCACAAACGUUACUAUAAAGACAACCCUAUGGCUCCUGCCGGUUGCCGUACCAUCGACGUGCAAGUCGAUAUUUCUAUUACAACAUGAUCAUCUCAUACAUCCAAUAUAUCACAUCACAUCGUUGGCCAUAUCACAUCACAAUCAUACCCUGCAAAAACAAGUUAGACGUCCUCUAAUUUUGUUGUUGCAUGUUUUACGUGGUGACCAAGGGUAUCUAGUAGGAUCGCAUCUUACUUACGCAAACACCACAACGGAGAUAUAUGAGUUGCUAUUUAACCUCAUCCAAGGACCUCCUCGGUCAAAUCCGAUUCAACUAAAGUUGAAGAAACCGUCACUUGCCAGUCAUCUUUGAGCAAAGGGGGUUGCUCGUAAUGAUGAAACCAGUCUCUCAUAAGCGUACGAGUAAUGUCGGUCCAAGCUGCUUCAAUCCAACAAUACCGCAGAAUCAAGAAAAGACUAAGGAGGGCAGCAAAACGCACAUCACCGCCCACAAAACCUUUUGUGUUCUACUCGAGAAGACAUCUACGCAUGAACCUAGCUCAUGAUGCCACUGUUGGGGAACGUCGCAAGGGAAACAAAAAUUUUCCUACGCGCACGAAGACCUAUCAUGGUGAUGUCCAUCUACGAGAGGGGAUGAGUGAUCUACGUACCCUUGUAGAUCAUACAGCAGAAGCGUUUAGAGAACGCGGUUGAUGUAGUGGAACGUCCUCACGUCCCUCGAUCCGCCCCGCGAACAAUCCCGCGAUCAGUCCCACGAUCUAGUACCGAACGGACGGCACCUCCGCGUUCAGCACACGUACAGCUCGACGAUGAUCUCGGCCUUCUUGAUCCAGCAAGAGAGAUGGAGAGGUAGAAGAGUUCUCCGGCAGCGUGACGGCGCUCCGGAGGUUGGUGAUGAUCUUGUCUCAGCAGGGCUCCGCCCGAGCUCCGCAGAAACACGAUCUAGAGGAAAAACUAUGGAGGUAUGUGGUCGGGCAGCCGUGAGAAAGUCGUCUCAAAUCAGCCCUAAUACCUCAGUAUAUAUAGGAGGGAGGGGGAGGGAAGAGGCAGCCUCAAACCCUCAAGGUUUGGCCGAAAUUGGAGGUGGAGGAGUCCUACUCCAAUCCUACUUGGAGUAGGAUUCCACCUUCCCACUUGGAAACUCUUUCCACCUUGUGUUUUUUCCUUCUCAAACCUUAUGGGCCUUAGUGGGAACUUAUUCCAGCCCACUAGGGGCUGGUUUAUCUCUUCCCAUAACCCAUGAUACCCCUUGGGGCGUGACACCCCUCCCGAUGGUCCCCGGCACCCCUCCCGGCACUCCCGGUACACUACCGAUGAGCCCGAAACUUUUCCGGUGACCAAAACAGGACUUCCUAUAUAUCAAUCUUUACCUCCGGACCAUUCCGGAGCUCCUCGUGACGUCCUGGAUCUCAUCCGGGACUCCGAACAACAUUCGGUAACCAACCAUAUAACUCAAAUACGCAUAAAACAACGUCGAACCUUAAGUGUGCAGACCCUGCGGGUUCGAGAACUAUGUAGACAUGACCCGAGAGACUCCUCGGUCAAUAUCCAAUAGCGGGACCUGGAUGCCCAUAUUGGAUCCUACAUAUUCUACGAAGAUCUUUAUCGUUUGAACCUCAGUGCCAAGGAUUCGUAUAAUCCCGUAUGUCAUUCCCUUUGUCCUUCGGUAUGUUACUUACCCGAGAUUCGAUCGUCAGUAUCCGCAUACCUAUUUCAAUCUCGUUUACCGGCAAGUCUCUUUACUCGUUCCGUAAUACAAGAUCCCGUAACUUACACUAAGUUACAUUGCUUGCAAGGCUUGUGUGUGAUGUUGUAUUACCGAGUGGGCCCCGAGAUACCUCUCCGUCACACGGAGUGACAAAUCCCAGUCUUGAUCCAUACUAACUCAACUAACACCUUCUGAGAUACCUGUAGAGCAUCUUUAUAGUCACCCAGUUACGUUGCGACGUUUGAUACACACAAAGCAUUCCUCCGGUGUCAGUGAGUUAUAUGAUCUCAUGGUCAUAGGAAUAAAUACUUGACACGCAGAAAACAGUAGCAACAAAAUGACACGAUCAACAUGCUACGUCUAUUAGUUUGGGUCUAAUCCAUCACGUGAUUCUCCCAAUGACGUGAUCCAGUUAUCAAGCAACAACACCUUGUUCAUAAUCAGAAGACACUGACUAUCAUUGACUAACUGGCUAGCCAACUAGAGGCAUGCUAGGGACGGUGUUUGGUCUAUGUAUCCACACAUGUAAAUGAGUCUUCAUUCAAUACAAUUAUAGCAUGGAUAAUAAACUAUUAUCUUGAUACAUGAAUUAUAAUAAUAACUACAUUUAUUAUUGCCUCUAGGGCAUAAUUCCAACAGAUUUCAUCAUAUAGGGAACGGUGUAUUGCACUAACACUAGCACCCAUAUCACAUAAACCGUGGUAACAGUGAUCUGCUAUCUUGACAGAAACAACGGGCAGGCCAACUACAUGUCCGUAGUUGUCUUUCGCGUGAGGUUUAGCAAUUCUAGUGGAGUCCUCACAGAAUUUGAUAACAUGCCCGUCUAUGUCUUCGGCUAAGAGAUCUUUGAUAAUAGCAACACUAGGUUAAAGUCUAAUUUCCUCACGGGGUGCAAGUGGUCUAAUGUAACCCCUACGUAUCACAGUUGGAGCUUUAGAAUAAUCCUUUAUCCUAGCAGGGUAAGGUGGUUUCUCAGCGUAGGCACAAGGAACAACAAGAUCACUAAAAGCAAUGACUUUCUCCUCAACUAGAUUGGUUUUGGCUAUGUUGCUUUCUACAGGAGGAUGAUAUUUAAACCACUUCUCUUUGGGAAGAUUAACAUGAGCACCAAAAGAUUCACAUAGAGAAGCUAUUAUCUCAGAGUCAAGUCCAUACUUAGCGCUAAAAUCUCUAGAAGUGUUUGUCUCAACAAAAGAUUUAACGCAAUCAAACUGGAAAUUCAUACUUGGCUCCUUACCUUCUUCCAGCUCCCAAUCUUCAGAGUUACGUUUGAUUAUUUCCAAUAAAUUCCACUUGUGGUCAAUAUCCUUCUUCAUAAAAGAACCAGUACAAGAAGUGUCAAGCAUGGUACGAUCUUCAUGAGAAAGCCGAGCAUAAAAGUUUUGAGUGAUAAUUUCUCUCGAGAGCUCAUGAUUGGGGUAUGAAUAUAGCAUUGAUUUAAGCCUCCCCCAAGCUUGAGCUAUGCUUUCCCUGUCACGAGGCCAAAAGUUAUAAAUAUAAUUCCGAUCACGAUGUACUAAAUGCAUAGGAUAGAACUUUUGAUGAAAUUCCAAUUUCAACCGAUUGUAGUCCCAUGAUCCAGUAUCAUCACAUAGCCUAUACCAUGUCAACGCCUUAUCCUUCAAAGAUAAAGGAAAGACUUUCUUAUUUACCUCAUCCUCGGGCAAACCUGCAAGCUUAAAUAAACCACAAACUUCAUCUACAUAGAUUAGAUGCAAGUCUGGAUGUGAAGAUCCAUCUCCUGUAAAAGGAUUAGCCAGCAGUUUCUCAAGCAUACCCGAAGGGAUUUCAUAAGAGAUAUUUUCAGUAGGUACCUCAGGUUGAGGAACAACUCCUCGUGCUUCCGUUCGUGGUGAAGAUACCCCGAACAAACUCCUCAAAGGAACAGUUUCCAUAGUGACAAGUGACAAUGAAUUUCAGCACAAUAUAUAAAUGUUUCCUUACCAAAUUCCACUUACCAAAGGCGCUUCCUCCCCGGCAACGGCGCAUGAAAAGAGUCUUGAUGACCCACAAGUAUAGGGGAUCAAUCGUAGUCCUUUCGAUAAGUAAGAGCGUUGAACUCAACGAGGAGGAGAAGGCUCUGAUAAAAGGUUUUCAGCAAGGUAAUAACUGCAAGCACUGAAAGUAGCGGUAACAGGUGAUGGUGUAGUGAAGUGAAACGUAGCAAGCGAAAAGUAACAAGUAACAAGUAGUAGCAACGGUGCAGCAAGUGGCCCAAUCCCUUUUGUAGCAAGGGACAAGCCUGAACAAAGUCUUAUAAGAGGAAAAGCGCUCCCGAGGACACACGGGAAUUUCUGUCAUGCUAGUUUCAUCAUGUUCAUAUGAUUCACGUUCGUUACUUUGAUAGUUUGAUAUGUGGGUGGACCGGCGCUUGGGUACUGCCCUUACUUGGACAAGCAUCCCACUUAUGAUUAACCCCUCUCGCAAGCAUCCGCAAAUACAAAAGAAGAAUUAAGACAACGUCUAACCAUAGCAUUAAACUAGUGGAUCCAAAUCAGCCCCUUACGAAGCAACGCAUAGACUGGGGUUUAAGCUUCUGUUACUCCAGCAACCCAUCAUCUACUUACUACUCCCCAAUGCCUUCCUCUAGGCCCAAAUAUGGUGAAGUGUUAUGUAGUCGACGUUCACAUAACACCACUAGAGGAAAAUCAACAUACAACAUAUCAAAAUACCGAGCAAAUACCAAACUCACAUGACUAUUAUUAGCAUGACUUAUCCCAUGUCCCCAGGAACAAAAGUAACUACUCACAAAGCAUAAUCAUAAUCAUGAUCAGAGGUGUAAUGAAUAACUUCAAGGAUCUGAACAUAAACUCUUCCACCAAGUAAUCCAACUAGCAUCAACUACAAAUAGUAAUCAACACUACUAGCAACCUUACAAGUACCAAUCGGAGUCGCGAGAUGGAGAUUGGUUACAAGAGAUGAACUAGGGAUUGGAGAGGAACUGGUGCCGAUGAAGAUGUUGAUGAAGAUGCAUCCCCUCCGACGAGAGGAGUGUUGGUGAUGACGAAGGCGACGAUUUCCCCCUCCGGGAGGGAAGUUUCCCCGGCAGGAUCGUCCUGCCGGAGCUCUAGAUUGGAUCUGCUCAAGUUCCGCCUCGUGGCGGCGGCGAAACCACGAAAACGCUCCCGAAUGAAUUUUUUUUUCUGGAACGAAACCCUUCAUAUAGCAAAAGAGGCGGGCCAGUGGGCCGCCAGGGUGCCCACAAGCCCUGUUGCCACGGCCAGGGGAUAGGCUGCGGCAACCAGGCUUGUGCCCCCCUGGUUGCUCCCCUCUGACACUUCUUUCGCCCAGUAUUUUUUAUAAAAUCCAAAAAAAAUCCACGUUGAUUUUCAGGACAUUUGGAGUUGCGCGGAAUAGAGCACUCAGACUUGCUCCUUUUCCAGUCCAGAAUUCCAGCUGUCGGUAUUCUCCCUCUUCAAAUAAACCUUGCAAAAUAAGAGAUAAAGGCAUAAUUAAGGUUCCACAAAGUAUAAUAACAGUCCAAAAAGCGAUAAAUAUCAACAUGAAAGCAUGAUGCAAAAUGGACGUAUCAAGGGCCAAGGCAGGAGAGCUACAGGGGGCCCACAAGCCAUGUAGCCGCCACCAGGGGGGCCGGUGGCUACCAGGCUUGUGGCCUCCCUGGCGCUCCCCUGCCCUAUCUCUUUCACCUAUAUAUUCCCUAAAAUCCAGAAAAAAAUGAGGUCAUCCACGAAAACACUUUUUCGCCGCCGCAAGCUUUCGUUUCCGCGAUAUCUCAUUUGGAGACCCUUCCCGGUGCCGUGCCGGAGGGGACUUUGGAGUUGGAGGGCUUCUACAUCAACAUCAACGCCUCUCCAAUGACUCGUGAGUAGUCCACUUCAGACCUACGGGUCCGUAGUUAGUAGCUAGAUGGCUUCUUCUCUCUCUUGGAUCUUCAAUACAAAGUUCUCCAUGAUCUUCUUGGAGAUCUAUCCGAUGUAAUCCUCUUUGGCGGUGUGUUUGUCGAGAUACGAUGAAUUGUGGAUUUGUGAUCAGAUUAUCUAUGAUAUAUAUUUGAGUCUUUGCUCAUUUCUUAUAUGCAUGAUUUGAUAUCCUUUUAAGUCUCUCCGAGUCUUGUGUUUUGUUUGGCCAACUAGAUCUAUGAUUCUUGUAAUGGGAGAAGUGCUUGGUUUUGGGUUCAUACCGUGUGGUGACCUUUCCCAGUGACAGAAGGGGCAGCAAGGCACACAUCGUGUUGUUGCCAUCAAGGGUAAUAAGAUGGGCUUUUAUCGUAGAUAUGAGAUUGUCCAUCUACAUCAUGUCAUCUUGCUUAAGGCGUUACUCUGUUCUUAUGAACUUAAUACACUAGAUGCAUGCUGGAUAGCGGUCGACGUGUGGAGUAAUAGUAGUAGAUGCACAAAGUAUCGGUCUACUUGUUUUGGACGUGAUGCCUAUAGAUAUAAUCAUUACCAUAGAUGAUGUCACGACUUUGCGCGGUUCUAUCAAUUGCUUGACAGUAAUUCGUUCACCCACCGUCUACUUGCUUUCAUGAGAGAAGUCACUAGUGAACACUACGGCCCCCGGGUCUAUUCACAACUAUCGUUUCCACUUUCGCUUUUACUUUGCUUUGUUUAUUUUUUGCUUUCAGUUCUCACUUUGCAAACAAUCUAUAAGGGAUUGACAACCCCUUCAUAGCGUUGGGUGCAAGCUCUUUGUGUUUGUGGAGGUACUUGUGACUCGACACGAUUCUCCCACUGGAUCGAUACCUUGGUUCUCAAACUGAGGGAAAUACUUACCGCCGCUGUGCUACAUCACCCUUUCCUCUUCAAGGGAACAUCAACGCAAGGCUCCAAGGCCGCGGGGAAAUACUUUGCAUAUUUGCCAAGGAAGUCCCUAUAGGCGUAGCCCGUGACAGAAGGAUUCCUGGCGCCGUUGCCAGGGAAGGUUUGUUGUCGCAGUAGCAGAAGGAUUUCUGGCGCCGUUGCCGGGGAGGAGGAUCGCUUGCGGAGGAGAGAUCAAGUCAAGAUCUAUCCAAGUAGGUGUCACAAACUCAUCUCUUGCAUUUACCUUUUUGCCAGUUGCCUCUCGUUUUCCUCUCCCCCACUUCACAUUUGUCGUUUUCAUUUGCCUUUUUCGUUUGCCUUUUCCGUUCGCCUUUUUGUUCGCCCUUUUUUCUCGCUUUCUUUCUGUUCGCUUGUGUGCCAUGUGCCUUCAGUAUGCUUGCAUCUUCGCUUGCUGAAAAUCUAGUGAUAUGGAUCCUCAUCAACUUGCUAAUCUCUUUAAGAGAUCCAAUUAUGUUGAUCCAAUUGCUAGUAAGUUGAGUGCACUUGACUUUCUUUAUAGAGUUUUGCUUGAGAUGCGUGAAUCUUAAAAUUGUGAGGAAGAAAUUUAUGAAGUGAUUCAUGAGGGCUCCUUGGAUGAAAAGCAUGAUUGCAAUGGUUUCACUAUAAAUUCUAUUAGUGACAAUCAUGCUAAAAAUAUGCAAAACCCUAACCUCAUGAUGAAUAUGAUAUUUGCAAUAAUAUUGAAAGUGGGUUUGGAGAAUUCAUGACUUUAGUUGAUGAUAAUCCCACUAUUUUUGAAGAGCAUCAACUUUGCAUGCAUGUGGAUCAUGAAAACAAUAUCCUAUGUGAUAUUUACAUUGUUGAAUUCGAAUAUGAUCCCACAUGUAAUUAUUAUGAGAGAGGAAAAUAUGGUGGUAGAAACUUUCAUAUCACUAAAUUACCUCUCGUUAUGUUGAGAUUGCUAUUGUCUCUUUCUUCUUCCUUGCAUAUGGUAACUAUUGGUUGUCUUGACGAUCUGUUUUCCUAUAAAAUGCCUAUGCAUAGGAAGUAUGUUAGACUUACAUGUGAUUUUUACAUGCUUCAUGAUGCUCUCGUUGUGCUUCAAUUCUUGUCUUUUGUGUGAGCAUCAUUGAACUAUCAAUGCCUAGCUAAGGGCGUUAAACAAUAGCGCUUGUUGGGAGGCAACCCAACGAAUCUAUCCUUUUUCUUUCUGUUUUGUGUUUUCCACACUUUCAUAAUUCUGUUAUGAUUGUGUUUUUUGUGUUUCCUUUUGCGUUUGUGCCAAUUAAAACCGUUAUGAUUAGUCUUGGGGAUGAUCGUUUGGUCAUGCUGGAAAAGACAGAAACUUUCUGCUCACGAAAAGAAUUUUCAUUUUUUUCCGUAAGAGCUUUUGAGUUGAUUCUUUUUGCUUCUGAUUGCUACACAAAUUCUUCAGACUGUCGUAAUUUUUCAGAAUUUUUGAAGUACAGAAGUAUACGAAGUAUACAGAUUGCUACAGACUGGUUUGCUGUUAACAGAUUAUGUUUCUAUUGAGUUGGUUGCUUAUUUUGAUGAAACUAUGGAUAGUAUCGGGGGGUAUUUGUUGGAAAUAUGCCCUAGAGGCAAUAAUAAAUUAGUUAUUAUUAUAUUUCUUAGUUCAUGAUAAUCGUUUAUUAUCCAUGCUAUAAUUGUAUUGAUUGGAAACACAGUGCAUGUGUGGAUACAUAGACAAAACACUGUCCCUAGUAAGCCUCUAGUUGACUAGCUCGUUGAUCAAAGAUGGUCAAGGUUUCCUGACCAUAGGCAAGUGUUGUCACUUGAUAACGGGAUCACAUCAUUAGGAGAAUCAUGUGAUGGACUAGACCCAAACUAAUAGACGUUGCUACUGUUUUCUGCGUGUCAAGUAUUUGUUCCUAUGACCAUGAGAGCAUAUAACUCACUGACACCGGAGGAAUGCUUUGUGUGUAUCAAACAUCGCAACAUAACUGGGUGACUAUAAAGAUGCUCCACAGGUAUCUCCGAAGGUGUUCGUUGAGUUAGUAUGGAUCGAGACUGGGAUUUGUCACUCCGUGUGACGGAGAGGUAUCUCACGGCCCACUCGGUAAUACAACAUCACACACAAGCCUUGCAAGCAAUGUGACUUAGUGUAAGUUGCGGGAUCUUGUAUUACGGAACGAGUAAAGAGACUUGCCGGUAAACGAGAUUGAAAUAGGUAUGCGGAUACUGACGAUCGAAUCGUACGGGAAAGUAACAUACCGAAGGACAAAGGGAAUGACAUACGGGAUUAUAUAAUCCUUGGCACUGAGGUUCAAACGAUAAGAUCUUCGUAGAAUAUGUGGGAUCCAAUAUGGGCAUCCAGGUCCCGCUAUUGGAUAUUGACCGAGGAGUCACUUGGGUCAUGUCUACAUAGUUCUCGAACCCGCAGGGUCUGCACACUUAAGGUUCGACGUUGUUUUAUGCGUAUUUGAGUUAUAUGGUUGGUUACCGAAUGUUGUUCGGAGUCCCGGAUGAGAUCACGGACGUCACGAGGGUUUCCGGAAUAGUCCGGAAACGAAGAUUGAUAUAUAGGAUGACCUCAUUUGAUUACCGGAAGGUUUUUGGAGUUACCGGGAAUGUACCGGGAAUGACGAAUGGGUUCCGGGUGUUCACCGGGGGGGGCAACCCUCCCCGGGGAAGCCCAUAGGCCUUGGGGGUGGCGCACCAGCCCUUGGUGGGCUGGUAGAACAGCCCAAGAAGGCCCUAUGCGCCAAGGAUAGGAAAUCAAAAAGAAAAGAAAAAAAAGAGGUGGGAAGGAGAGAAGGACUCCACUUUCCAAUCCUAGUUGGACUAGGAUUGGAGGAGGACUCCUCCUCCCUUGGUGGUGCAGCCCUUGGGGCUCCUUGAGCCUCAAGGCAAGCCUCCCCUCCCUCCUCCUAUAUAUAUGGAGCAAUUAGGGCUGAUUUGAGACAACUUUUGCCACAGCAGCCCGACCACAUAUGUGACAGCCCGAUGCCGACGUUCCAGAAGAUUCCCCUCUCUUUCCGUUUUCGUCGUGUGUCUAUUCUCUUUUGUCGCAUCAUCAUCAUCGCAUCAUGCGCAUCAUAUGCAUUGCAUCAGCAUCCCGUUGCCGCCCGUUUUCAAAACCUGCAUUCGCUAGUAGUCGCCGGUUCUCGUCGUUGUCCGUUCUGAGCCCGACCGCACUCGCACGCGCCCGCGGCACCGUCGAAACCCUGUUUUAAAAGUGUGCAUAAAACCUUCUCUGAUUGGGUUGAGAUUUGACGUGCGGUCGUUUUUUUAAUAUAGGUAGGCCGCCUGUCAAGUUUCGUCGCAAUCGGAGUCCGUCUGGUACCCGAACGGUCGUCCGUAGCGGCACCGUCUUCGGUCUAUCGCGGUCGUUUUCCCUCUCACCUCCGCCUAGCCACUCUUCACAGCCACCUAGACAUUCACGCGUCUGUGGCCGUUCGAUCGCGAUCACGUGGUCGAAAACGGAGUCGGAUUCGGAUAACCCUAGCCCCCUUUCCUAUUUAAUCUCCUCCUCCUCUCAUUUUGGACAGCCAAUCCCCCUUGCCUCGUUUUCCGUGCAAACCUAACCCUAGUCUAUCCACCUUUUCCACCUUUCAGAUCUGAUCUAGCCUCUCCAUCGAUCUAGACCGUUGGAUCGGAGAUCCAACGGAUGAAAAUACUCUUGAGCCUUCCAUGGAGCUCCUCCCGUGUCUCUCCUCGUGCCCGAGCUCCUUCCUCCCGAGCAUGGCCGCAGCUCCUCCCCGCUGCCGGAGCACCACCGGCCAGGCAGCAGCAGCCGUCGGAGCUUCUUCGCCGGGCCACCACCUUCUCCUCCCCUUUCCUCUCUCCUUCCUCUCCCUCUCCUUCCCUGCCUCGUCCUCACCUUCUUCUUCUUCUUUGCAGGUUCAAUGGCCGUCGUUGAGCUCGCCUGUGCGCCUCUCCAUGUCCUAUCUCUGGCCAGAUCCGGGAUGGAGCUGCCAGAUCCGCUCGUUCCCAUGCUCCUGUGGCCGCCCUCGCCCCAACCAGCCUCGUCACCCGGUUGCCGGCGCGUUCGUGCAUCUCCAUGGCCGACGGGAUCGGUUCCCCUGUAAGCUUCGUUCUGAAUCUGUUGCCUAGAGGUAAUAUAUGUUAGACGCUGACUUUAAUCAUGUGUUCAACGCUAGCUGAGUUGGCUAGGGCAGCCGAUCCCAUCUCCUAGCACCAGCAGGUCGAGGGUUCAAGUCCCCGUGAAUGCAUGUUUUUUAUAUGCAUUUUUUUCCUCUUGAGGAUGACCUCCUUCCUUUAUUUUAGUGUCUGUCCAGCCACUAUUAUUUCACAAACACUCGGUAGCCCAAUUGAUCAACUUUUGUUAGCAACCAUUGGAGUCCUGGGAUCAAAUCCCAGUGUCCUCCUUUUUUUUUGCUUUCGGGAAGAUUCUUUUUAGCUUUUGUAAAAUCCAUAUAAAUUCAACCGUGCGUCGGAUUGCGACAAGUUAGAUAUGUAACUCGUGUACAAUUUCGCGUAGAUUACGAAUUUGUAACUUGCAUAAAUGUUUGAAAUAGUUUGACCCGCCGAAUCCCUACAAACGCGUGCUGACCUAUUAUGUUUUGUCCCGUAUUAAUUUUCUCGUGCGUGUCUGGACUGUCCGUAUACCGGAGAUUAAAUGUCCAUGUUUUAGGGACCAUUUUUCCAUGAAUGUUAGAGCGGUCAUUGGUAUUUUUGCGUGUAGGGUUUGCCGGUAGUUUAUUUUCCAGUAUAUAGGUGAUUAUCUCGCAUUAAUGUGUGGCAUUAUUUUGUGUUGCAACCCCACAUAUUUUAUAUGUUUUCGGGGUAGAAAAAUACCAUGGAUUUUUAUGUGCAAUUAGUUUUGCCAUUAGAGCAAGUUAGUUCGUGAGAUAUUUUGCCAUGUUGCCCUUUUGUUUAAUUCGUAGGAUUUAUUCCGUGCGUUGUUUGACGGAGUUGUCAACUAGAGAGUUGAUCUUGGAUGUUUUGUUUAGCCUCUGGUAUUUUUAGUUGUAAUAGAAAUGCAUGUUUAGGUGUGUUUUUCUUGCUCGUAAGUUGCUAGAAAUAGUGCUGUUUUAGGGGUGCUGAAAUAUUUCUAAGUCUGGAAUCUGUUAUAUUUUGUUGCUGUCUUGUCUUGCUUGCAUCUUGUGAUCUGUAGCUCUUUUGAGGUUGGUCCAAUGGAGUUAGUUGUACCCCUUGUGUUUCUCUAGCAUGCUGUGAAUUUUCAUGCCAUUUGGAGACCUCUGGCUUAGGAUUUUGCUGCUGUCAAUAUGCCUUCAGGCUGAAAACUGCACUUUCAUGAUGUGUUAUUUUCACUAAGUCUGAAAUAGUGUGUGAGAUGCCAUUUUGUGUCUUCUUUUCCUAGUGCUCCUUGCUGCCAUGCUAGUUGUUGUUAGCUGUUCGUAGUAAUGCUUCUUUCCCUCUUCCAUGCCAUGCCUUACUUGAGCAUAUCGGAGUUGUGUAGCCGUAGUUGUGGGGCGUAGAAAAUGGUAUGUGGCUGAUUUUGGCAGAUUGUAGUGUUUUCUUGUUAUGCUCGUAGUUUUCGAACCGUAGCUCCGUUUUUUCUUGCUUAGAAUCUCGUGUAGUUUCAUUUUCUCUUGCUGUUUGUAUGUGUUGAAGUGCUCGUAGCCGCCGUUGCACACAUUUUUGCAUUCAUGCUAUCAUAUCUUGCGGUGCUUGUAUCUUUUGAUCCGUAGCUCCGUUGGAGAUGUUCUUUAUGUGUAGAUUGCUUGCCUUGAUGCGUAGAAUCAUGUGAACCUAUUUGUUUUGCGGUUUAACAACUAAUCAAAUGCAUUAGUUCAGAUCUGGACAGAAUUGUAAAUUAACAUGUGAGGUCGUCUCGGAGAUGCUAUAUGUCAUUUCGGACCUCACUUAAAAUGCCUAGAUAGGUAGUUUAACUUCCGCUUCACCUCUUACAUGUUUGACAACAUUAAUAUUACCGUGUAGAUAACCGGGAGUGAACUAAAUAAUUAACGUGGAAUUUCGUCAAUAUGCAACUCGUUGCAUAUUGAACUUCACUUAAUGUGUAGUUUUGAUUGUGUGAAUUUGUCAUGCCGUGACUUGCAUGUAUUUAGCUGUUCAUGCAUCAUAUGUGUUGUGCUUCGUGUGGUGAAUAUCGUGUGUUGAUGCUUGUUUCCGGUUUCCCCGUCUCGAUAGAGUUCCGCAAGCGAGUCGGAUGUGAGGACCCGUUCGACUACAUCGGUUCGUCUGCUUCACGGAGGCAUUCUUCUUCCAAGCGGGAUCUCAGGCAAGAUGAUCAUUUCCCCAGAUACCAUUACUAUCAUUGUCAUGCUAGUUAUUUCGAUGCUAUCGCUUAUGUCUCGUUGCCUACCACUGUUAAUUAUCAGCCUCUCAACAAUGCCAUGAAACCUUCAACCUCUUCAACCUAGCAAACCACUGAUUGGCUAGGUUACUGCUUGCUUAACCAUGUUGAUAGCGUUACUAGUUGCAGGUGCAGAUGCUUCCAUGCGAAAGCAUGGGUUCCUUGUUAUAUCACCAUAUUUAACUGCUAUUUAAUUUAAUGCACCUAUAUACUUGGUAAAAGGUGGAAGGCUCGGCCUUUCUAGCCUGGUGUUUUGUUCCACCUUUGCCCCUUUUAGUUACCGGCUACCGGUGUUAUGUUCCAUAAAUGAGCGCUCCUAACACGAUCGGGGUUGUUAUGGGGACCCCCUUGAUAAUUCGUUUUAGAUUAAAGCUGGUCUGGCAAGGCCCAACAUUGGUACUACAUUUGCCUAAUCACCUAAUAAAUUGCAUAGGGACCCGCCGGCACCCGCGGACUAUUUUAAUCAACCCCCGGGCCAGUGCUCCUCAUGAGUGUUGGUCCAAAACAGAGCAGCUUAUUAACGCUACCCGGGGCAACUCGGCGUUUGGCGUGGUAACCAUAGCUCAUCCGUCGUGUCCUGAGAACGAGGUACGCGACUCCUAUCGGGAUCAUCGACACGUCGGGCGGCCUUGCUGGAUUAGUUUUACCUUUGACGAAAUAUCUUGUGCAUCGGGAUUCCGGUGAUGCUUUGGGUAAUCUCAGAGUUGAGGUUUUCCACCAGGGAAUCCGUCGAGAUCGCGAGCUUCGUGAUUGAGGAUUUCUAUGCGGCUUGUGGUAAUUUGUGAUGGACUAGUUGGAGCACCCCUGCAGGGUUAAAUCUUUCGGAAAGCCAUGCCCGCGGUUAUGUGGAACAUGGAAGCUUGCAUGCNNNNNNNNNNNNNNNNNNNNNNNNNNNNNNNNNNNNNNNNNNNNNNNNNNNNNNNNNNNNNNNNNNNNNNNNNNNNNNNNNNNNNNNNNNNNNNNNNNNNCCCCCAAACCCAAAACCUUACGUACCAACGUUCGGUUUUGGGGGGGGAGAGUCCCUCCCCCUUGGCUCGGCCGACCCCCUUGAGGGUCCUUGGACCCCAAGGCAAGGCCCCUCCCUCCCACCUAUAUAUACGGAGGUUUUAGGGCUGAUUUGAGACGACUUUUCCACGGCAGCCCGACCACAUACCUCCACGGUUUUUCCUCUAGAUCGCGUUUCUGCGGAGCUCGGGCGGAGCCCUGCUGAGACAAGGUCAUCACCAACCUCCGGAGCGCCGUCACGCUGCCGGAGAACUCUUCUACCUCUCCGCCUCUCUUGCUGGAUCAAGAAGGCCGAGAUCAUCGUCAAGCUGUACGUGUGCUGAACGUGGAGGUGCCGUCCGUUCGGUACUAGAUCGUGGGACUGAUCGCGGAAUUGUUCGCGGGGCGGAUCGAGGGACGUGAGGACGUUCCACUACAUCAACCGCGUUCUCUAACGCUUCUUCUGUACGGUCUACAAGGGUACGUAGAUCACUCAUCCCCUCUCGUAGAUGGACAUCACCAUGAUAGGUCUUCGUGCGCGUAGGAAAAUUUUUGUUUCCCUUGCGACGUUCCCCAACAGUGGCAUCAUGAGCUAGGUUCAUGCGUAGAUGUCUUCUCGAGUAGAACACAAAAGGUUUUGUGGGCGGUGAUGUGCGUUUUGCUGCCCUCCUUAGUCUUUUCUUGAUUCCGCGGUAUUGUUGGAUCGAAGCAGCUUGGACCGACAUUACUCGUACGCUUACGAGAGACUGGUUUCAUCGUUACGAGUAACCCCCUUUGCUCAAAGAUGACUGGCAAGUGACGGUUUCUCCAACUUUAGUUGAAUCGGAUUUGACCGAGGAGGUCCUUGGAUGAGGUUAAAUAGCAACUCAUAUAUCUCCGUUGUGGUGUUUGCGUAAGUAAGAUGCGAUCCUACUAGAUACCCUUGGUCACCACGUAAAACAUGCAACAACAAAAUUAGAGGACGUCUAACUUGUUUUUGCAGGGUAUGAUUGUGAUGUGAUAUGGCCAAUGAUGUGAUGUGAUAUAUUGGAUGUAUGAGAUGAUCAUGUUGUAAUAGAAAUAUCGACUUGCACGUCGAUGGUACGGCAACCGGCAGGAGCCAUAGGGUUGUCUUUAUACUAACAUAUGUGCUUGCAGAUGCGUUUACUAUUUUGCUAGGAUGUAGCUUUAGUAGUGAUAGCAUAAGUAGCACGACAACCCCGAUGGCAGCACGUUGAUGGAUGAUCAUGGUGUGGCGCCGGUGACAAGAAGAUCGUGCCGGUGCUUUGGCGAUGGAGAUCAAGAAGCACGAGAUGAUGGCCAUAUCAUGUCACUUAUGAAUUGCAUGUGAUGUUAAUCCUUUUAUGCACCUUAUUUUGCUUAGAACGACGGUAGCAUUAUGAGGUGAUCUCUCACUAAAAUUUCAAGACGAAAUUGUGUUCUCCCCGACUGUGCACCGUUGCUACAGUUCGUCGUUUCGAGACACCACGUGAUGAUCGGGUGUGAUAGACUCAACGUUCACAUACAACGGGUGCAAAACAGUUGCGCACGCGGAACACUCGGGUUAAGCUUGACGAGCCUAGCAUGUGCAGACAUGGCCUCGGAACACAUGAGACCGAAAGGUCGAGCAUGAAUCGUAUAGUUGAUAUGAUUAGCAUAGAGAUGCUUACCACUGAAACUAUUCUCGACUCACGUGAUGAUCGGACUUGAGAUAGUGGAUUUGGAUCAUGUACCACUCAAAUUACUAGAGAGAUGUACUUUUUGAGUGGGAGUUCUUAAGUAAUAUGAUUAAUUGAACUAAUUGUCAUGAACAUAGUCUAAUGGUCUUUGCGAAUUAUGAUGUAGCUUGCGCUAUAGCUCUACCUUUUUUAUAUGUUCCUAGAGAAAAUUUAGUUGAAAAUUGAUAGUAGCAAACUUUGCAGACUGAGUCUGUAAAACCGAGGAUUGUCCUCGUUGCUACGCAGAAGGCUUAUGUCCUUAAUGCACCACUCGGUGUGCUGCACCUCGAGCGUCGUCUGUGGAUGCUAUGAACAUCCGACAUACACGUUGCUGAUGACUACACGAUAGUUCAGUGCAAAAUACUUAAUGGCUUAGAAGCAAGGCGUCGAAAACGUUGUAAAACGUCACGGAACAUAAGUGAUGUUCUAAAGAGAUGAAAUUUGUGAUUUCAUGCUUGUGCCCUUGUUAAGAGGUACGAGACCUCCGACAAGAUUCUUUGUCCACAAACCACAGGAGAAAAGGCUCAAUCGUUGAGCAUGUGCUCAGAUUGUCUGAGUACGACAAUCGCUUGAAUCAAGUGGGAGUUAAUCUUCCAGAUGAGAUAGUGAUAGUUCUCCAAAGUCACUGCCACCAAGCUGUGAGAGCUUCGUGAUGAACUAUAACAUAUCAAGGAUACAUACAAUGAUCCUUGAGCGAUUCACGAUGUUUGACACUGCGAAAGUAGAAAUCAAGAAGGAGCAUCAAUAGUUGAUGGUUUGUGAAACCACUAAGUUUCAAGAAAGGCAAGGGCUAGAAGGGAUACUUCGUGAAACGGCAAAACAGUUGCUGCACUGAUGAAGAGACCCAAGAUUGAACCCAAACCCAAGACUAAGUGCUUCUAUAAUGAGGGGAACAAUCACCGAGGCGGAGCAACUCAAGAUACUUGGUAAAUAAGAAGGCUGGCAAAAGUCGAAAGAAGAGUGUUUGAUGUGCAUGAUGUUGAUGUGUACUUUACUAGUACUCCUAGUAGCACGAGGGUAUUGGAUACCGGUUCGGUUGCUAAGUGAUUAGUGACGCGAAAUGAAAGCUACGGCAUAAACGGAGACUAGCUAAAGGCGAGGUGACAAUACGUGUUGGAAGUGUUUCCAAGAUUGAUAUGAUCAAACGUCGCAUGCUCCCUCUACCAUCGGGAUUGGUGUUAAACCUAAAUAAUUGUUAUUUGGUGCUUGCGUUAAGCAUGAACAUGAUUGGAUCGUGUUUAUCGCAAUACGAUUGUUCAUUUAAGGAGAAUAAUGGUUACUCUAUUCUCUUGAAUAUUCACCUUCAAUGGUUUAUUGAAUCUCGAUCGUAGUGUUACACAUGUUCAUGAUAUUGGUGCCAAAAGAUACGAGUUAAUGAUGAUAGUACCACUUACUUGUGGCUCUGCCGCUUGAGUCAUGUUAGUAUAAAUUGCAUGAAGAGGCUCCAUGCUGAUGGAUCUUCGUACUCACCUCAUUUCAAAUCACUAGUGACAUGCAAAUCAUACCACAUGAGCAAGGCCUUGUUUUCAUUGAGAUGAAAUAAGAUAGUAACUUGUUGGAAGUGAUACAUUUUGAUGUAUGCAGUCCAAUGGGUGCUGAGGCACGUAGUGGAUAUCAUUAUGUUCUUACUUCACUGACGAUUUGAGUAGAUACAGGAGUAUUUACUUAAUGAAUCACAAGUCUGAAAUGUUGAAAAGUUCAAUUCCGUUUCAGAGUGAAGUUCGUCGUAACAAGAGGAUAAACUGUCUACGAUAUGAUCAUGGAAAUGAAUAUCUGAGUUACGAGUUUUGGUACACAGUUAAGACAAUGUGGAAAUUGUUUCGCAGUUCAUGCCACCUGGAACAUCAUAGUGUGAUGAUGUGUCUGAACGUCAUAGCCACGCACUAUUUGGUAUGGUGCAUACUAUGAUGUCUCUUAUCGAAUUACCACUAUCGUUUAUGGGUUAUGCAUUAGAGACAACCGCACUCACUUUAAAUAGGGCACCGCAUAUUUCCGUUGAGAUGACACAGUAUAGACUGAGGUUUAGAGAAAUCUAAACUGUCGUUUCUUGAAAGUUUGGGGCUUCGACACUUAUGUGAAGAAGUUUCAGUCUGAUAAGCUCGAACCCAAAGCGGAUAAAUGCAUCUUCAUAAGGAUAUCCAAAACAGUUGGGUACAUCUCCUAUCUCAGAUUCGAAAGCAAAGUGUUUGUUUCUAGAAACGGAUCCUUUCUCGAGGAAAGGUUUCUCUCGAAAGAAUUGAGUGGGAGGGUAGUAGAACUUGAUGAGGUUGUUGAACCAUCACUUCAACCAGUGUAUAGCAGGGCGCAGGAAGUUGUUCAUGUGGCGCCUACACCAAUUGAAGUGGAAGCUGAUGAUGAUGAUCAUUGAGCUUCGAAUCAAGUUACUACAAACCUCGUAGGUCGACAAGGUCGCGUACUGCUGCAGAGUAGUACGGUAACCCUGUCUUGGAGGUCAUGUUGUUGAGCAACAGUGAACCUACGAGUUAUGGAGAAAGCGAUGGUGGGCCCAGAUUCCGACAAAUGGCUGGAAGCCAUGAAAUCCGAGAGAGGAUCCAUGUGUGAAAACAAAGUGUAGACUUUGGUAGAACUACUUGAUGGUCAUAGGACUAUUGAGUAAAAUGGAUCUUUAAAAGAAGACAGACGAUGAUGGUGAUAAGUCACUAUUAAGAAACGCUCGACUUGUCGCAAAGAUGUUUUCGAUAAGAUCAAACAGUUGACUAUGAUGAGACUUUCUCACUCGUAGCGAUGCUAAAAGUCUGUUAGAAUUAUGUUAGUUGUUGAUGCAUUAUUUAUGAAAUAUUGCACGUAGGAUGUCAAAACAUUGUUUUCUCGACGGUUUCCUUGAGCAAACAUUGUAUGUGAUACAACUAGAAGGUUUUGUAGAUCCUAAAGAUACUAGCAAGUAUGCAAGCUCCAGUGAUCCUUCAAUGGACUGGUGCAAGCAUCUCAGAGUUGGAAUAUACACUUUGAUGAGAUGAUCAAAGAUUUUGGGUUUGUACAAGGUUUAUGAGAAACUUGUAUUUCCAAAGAAGUGAGUGGGAGCACUAUAGAAUUUCUGAUAAGUAUAUGUGGUUGACAUAUUGUGGAUCAGAAGUAAUGUAGAAUUUCUGUAAAGCAUACAAGGUUGUUUGAAAGAAGUUUUCAAAGGAAUACCUGGAUUACGCUACUUGAACGUUGAGCAUCAAAGAUCUAUGGAGAUUGAUCGAAAGCGCUUAAUAGAAGUUUCAACAAGAUGCAUGCCUUGACAAGUUUUUGAAAGAGUUCAAAAUAGACCAGCAAAGAAGGAGUUCUUGGUUGCGUUGUGAGGUGUGAAUUUGAGUAAGACUCAAAACCCGACCACGGCAGAAUAAAGAGAAUAGACGAAGGUCGUCUUCUAUGCCUUAGCCGUAGAAUCUAAAGUAUGCCAUGCUGUGUACCGCACCUGAAGUGUGCCUUGACUCAAAGUGUGUUAAGAGGUACAGAGAGUGAUCCAUGAUUGAAUCACUAGCAGCGGUCGAAAUUUAUCCUUAGUGACUAAUGGACUAAGGAAUUUUUCUCGAUUAUGGAGGUGGUUAAAGAGUUUGUCGUAAAGGGUUACGUCAAUGCAAGCUUUGACACUAAUCCGGAUAACUAUGAGUAGUGAAACGGAUUCGUAUAGUAGAGCAGAUAUUUGGAGCAUUUCCGAAUAGCGCGUAGUAGCAGCAUCUAUAAGAUGACAUAAAGAUUUGUAAAGAACGCACGAAUCUGAAAGUUUCAGAACCGUUGACUAAAACCUCUCUCACGAGCAAGACGUGAUCAGACCCCAUAACUAUAUGGGUGUUGGAUUCGUUGGAAUCACAUGGUGAUGUGAACUAGAUUAUUGACUCUAGUGCAAGUGGGAGACUGUUGGAAAUAUGCCCUAGAGGCAAUAAUAAAUUAGUUAUUAUUAUAUUUCUUAGUUCAUGAUAAUCGUUUAUUAUCCAUGCUAUAAUUGUAUUGAUUGGAAACACAAUACUUGUGUGGAUACAUAGACAAAACACUGUCCCUAGUAAGCCUCUAGUUGACUAGCUCGUUGAUCAAAGAUGGUCAAGGUUUCCUGGCCAUAGGCAAGUGUUGUCAGUUGAUAACGGGAUCACAUCAUUAGGAGAAUCAUGUGAUGGACUAGACCCAAACUAAUAGACGUAGCAUGUUGAUCGUGUCAUUUUGUUGCUACUGUUUUCUGCGUGUCAAGUAUUUGUUCCUAUGACCANNNNNNNNNNNNNNNNNNNNNNNNNNNNNNNNNNNNNNNNNNNNNNNNNNNNNNNNNNNNNNNNNNNNNNNNNNNNNNNNNNNNNNNNNNNNNNNNNNNNGGUGUUUGCGUAAGUAAGAUGCGAUCCUACUAGAUACCCUUGGUCACCACGUAAAACAUGCAACAACAAAAUUAGAGGACGUCUAACUUGUUUUUGCAGGGUAUGAUUGUGAUGUGAUAUGGCCAACGAUGUGAUGUGAUAUAUUGGAUGUAUGAGAUGAUCAUGUUGUAAUAGAAAUAUCGACUUGCACGUCGAUGGUACGGCAACCGGCAGGAGCCAUAGGGUUGUCAUUAUACUAACGUUUGUGCUUGCAGAUGCGUUUACUAUUUUGCUAGGAUGUAGCUUUUGUAGUAAUAGCAUGAGUAGCACGACAACCCCGAUGGCGACACGUUGAUGGAGAUCAUGAGGAUGGAGAUCAUGGUGUGACGCCGGUGACAAGAAGAUCGUGCCGGUGCUUUGGUGAUGGAGAUCAAGAAGCACAUGAUGAUGGCCAUAUCAUGUCACUUAUGAAUUGCAUGUGAUGUUAAUCCUUUUAUGCACCUUAUUUUGCUUAGAACGACGGUAGCAUUAUGAGGUGAUCUCUCACUAAAAUUUCAAGACGAAAUUGUGUUCUCCCCGACUGUACACCGUUGCGACAGUUCGUCGUUUAGAGACACCACGUGAUGAUCGGGUGUGAUAGACUCAACGUUCACAUACAACGGGUGCAAAACAGUUGCGCACGCGGAACACUCGGGUUAAGCUUGACGAGCCUAGCAUGUGCAGACAUGGCCUCGGAACACAUGAGACCGAAAGGUCGAGCAUGAAUCGUAUAGUUGAUAUGAUUAGCAUAGAGAUGCUUACCACUGAAACUAUUCUUGACUCACGUGAUGAUCGGACUUGAGAUAGUGGAUUUGGAUCAUGUACCACUCAAAUGACUAGAGAGAUGUACUUUUUGAGUGGGAGUUCUUAAGUAAUAUGAUUAAUUGAACUAAUUGUCAUGAACAUAGUCUAAUGGUCUUUGCGAAUUACGAUGUAGCUUGCGCUAUAGCNNNNNNNNNNNNNNNNNNNNNNNNNNNNNNNNNNNNNNNNNNNNNNNNNNNNNNNNNNNNNNNNNNNNNNNNNNNNNNNNNNNNNNNNNNNNNNNNNNNNUUUCCUCGACGGUUUCCUUGAGCAAACAUUGUAUGUGAUACAACCAGGAGGUUUUGUCGAUCCUAAAGAUACUAGCAAGUAUGCAAGUUCCAGCGAUCCUUCAAUGGACUGGUGCAAGCAUCUCGGAGUUGGAAUAUAUAUACUUUGAUGAGAUGAUCAAAGAUUUUGGGUUUGUACAAGGUUUAUGAGAAACUUGUAUUUCCAAAGAAGUGAGUGGGAGCACUAUAGAAUUUCUGAUAGGUAUAUGUGGUUGACAUAUUGUGGAUCAGAAGUAAUGUAGAAUUUCUGUAAAGCAUACAAGGUUGUUUGAAAGAAGUUUUCAAAGGAGUACCUGGAUUACGCUACUUGAACGUUGAGCAUCAAAGAUCUAUGGAGAUAGAUCAAAAGCGCUUAAUAGAAGUUUCAACAAGAUGCAUGCCUUGACAAGUUUUUGAAGGAGUUCAAAAUAGAUCAGUAAAGAAGGAGUUCUUGGUUGCAUUGUAAGGUGUGAAUUUGAGUAAGACUCAAAACCUGACCACGGCAGAAUAAAGAGAAUAGACGAAGGUCGUCUUCUAUGCCUUAGCCGUAGAAUCUAAAGUAUGCCAUGUUGUGUACCGCACCUGAUGUGUGCCUUGACUCAAAGUCUGUUGAGAGGUACAGAGAGUGAUCCAUGAUUGAAUCACUAGCAGCGGUCGAAAUUUAUCCUUAGUAACUAAUGGACUAAGGAAUUUUUCUCGAUUAUGGAGGUGGUUAAAGAGUUUGUCGUAAAGGGUUACGUCAAUGCAAGCUUUGACACUAAUCCGGAUAACUAUGAGUAGUGAAACGGAUUCGUAUAGUAGAGUAGAUAUUUGGAGCAUUUCCGAAUAGCACGUAGUAGCAGCAUCUAUAAGAUGACAUAAACAUUUGUAAAGAACGCACGAAUCUGAAAGUUUCAGAACCGUUGACUAAAACCUCUCUCACGAGCAAGACGUGAUCAGACCCCAUAACUAUAUGGGUGUUGGAUUCGUUGGAAUCACAUGGUGAUGUGAACUAGAUUAUUGACUCUAGUGCAAGUGGGAGACUGUUGGAAAUAUGCCCUAGAGGCAAUAAUAAAUUAGUUAUUAUUUUAUUUCUUAGUUCAUGAUAAUCGUUUAUUAUCCAUGCUAUAAUUGUAUUGAUUGGAAACACAAUACUUGUGUGGAUACAUAGACAAAACACUGUCCCUAGUAAGCCUCUAGUUGACUAGCUCGUUGAUCAAAGAUGGUCAAGGUUUCCUGGCCAUAGGCAAGUGUUGUCACUUGAUAACGGGAUCACAUCAUUAGGAGAAUCAUGUGAUGGACUAGACCCAAACUAAUAGACGUAGCAUGUUGAUCGUGUCAUUUUGUUGCUACUGUUUUCUGCGUGUCAAGUAUUUGUUCCUAUGACCAUGAGAUCAUAUAACUCACGGACACCGGAGGAAUGCUUUGUGUGUAUCAAACGUCGCAACGUAACUGGGUGACUAUAAAGNNNNNNNNNNNNNNNNNNNNNNNNNNNNNNNNNNNNNNNNNNNNNNNNNNNNNNNNNNNNNNNNNNNNNNNNNNNNNNNNNNNNNNNNNNNNNNNNNNNNCGUUCCAGCGCCACCGGCUGGGUCGCCUGGGGCAUCAACCCCGGCGGCGCCGGCAUGGCCGGCAGCAACGUCUUCCUCGCCUCGCAGGGCGGCGGCGGCGGCGCCGCCGUCUCCGUGCUCACCACCGUCCUGAGGAGCACGGCCCCGGCCCUGGACAACACCACCCUCCAGUUCGGCGUGCCGGUGCCGCCCACCGCCGAGUACGCGGCCGGCGCCUACACGAUCUACGUGACGGUGGCGCUGCCGGGGAACUCCACGCAGCAGAACACGGUGUGGCAGGCGGGGCCGGUCAGCGGCGGGGCCAUAAUGCCGCACCCGGUGUCCGGGCCCAACUUGCAGAGCGUUAAGAGGCAGGACUUCCUGUCCGGCUAGAGCGCCCGACGAGGCAUAUGUUUGUACGCAAAUACUGUCAGUGUCAUGAUCAUGGAGUAUAAAAUAAAUCGCACGGCUUAUUCCUCAUGUUCCUGCUAUUAGACGUCGACGUCGUAUCAAAUGAAGUGUGCGCUAAACACUGUUUAUACGCUCCCAGCCGGAUUUAGGGACAUGGCUUACGGCGAUUAGUAUUUUUUUUCCGACGAAUUCACAAAGCUUUAUUAAUACUAGCAAAAGGGCCCGUGCGUUGCAACGGGAGAAAGAAAAUACCACACGCUUUUAAUCUUUUUAUAAUCAUUUUGAUUUAUUAGAAUAAUAAGUUAACUAACUAAUGUAGCCAGUCCUAUCCUAUUUUGUUGAGAAAUCAACCCGUCCAUUGUUAAUUCCACCGUGAUGAGAAAUCGAACGGGACAAGCAAAGCAAAACAAAGAGGCUACGUGAAUUGAUCAAUGGACUGUUAUCUUAUUUCACCCAUGGGGUAGAGAAUGUGGGAUCAGAUGACAAACUGAAGGUGGUGUUCCAUUUUCUCUCUCUACAACAAUGCAAUCUUACAUUCAAUACAUUCAUUCAUCAGCAAAAAAAUUCUCACAAAACAAAAUUUCUUGCCGGUGCUUGGCACACGGUUGGAGAGCAUGGGGAGGGGAUCUCACCAAAUGAUGAGUUCCUGCCGGAGGAGGGGAUACGAUGAGGGGAGCAAGGGUUAGGCGCCUCUAUCUGGCCAUAAGGAGUCGCCGUUGCCGCGCCAUAACCUCGGAGUUCCCCGUGUGAGCCAUGGAGGCCCGCCUCCACCUGCAAGUACUUCGCUCCGCCGCGCCUUAUCCGCACGCCGUCGCCGUUCUGCAUCGAGUAGACGCAUCAUCCCAAGUCGAUGUAGCUGUCGCGUUGAUUUGAUCCAGAAGCUGUGCUCGAGCGCCGAAACAGGGGCAACAAACGGGCAGAGGUACGACCGCGGAGGCGGCUGGGUUGAGAUCGACAACAAUGGUGGUUGAGGUCGGCCGCGGCGACGAGUGGUGUGGCAGCGGCCUGGGCACAGGCCAGGGUGGACCAGGGUCAACGCGAUGCGCUCGAGCGCCGCAACGGGGGCAGUGAGCGGGGAGAGGUACAACCGCGGAGGCGGGUGGGUUGAGAUCGGCAGCGGUGGCGGUUGAGGUCGGCCGCGACGGCGAGUGGUGUGGCGGCCGCCUAGGCAUAGGCCAGGGGUGGCCGAGGGUCGAUGGGAGGAGGCGGUGCGUACGGGUAUAAUUUUUGCAGCGAAUCGUUUUUUCCUUUUGCGAUUACGAGAAGUAAAUGAUGGAGUGCGGGUUGAAUAACAAAAAUUACAGUUUUUUWWUAAAAUGCCAUGAUGGGUUUUCCGACGGAAGCAAUAGCCGCUUUAUUAUUAGGUAUAGACUAGCAAAAGGUCCGUGGUUGCAACGGAAGAAAAAAUAUCACACGGUUUUAAUUUUUAUAAUCAUUUUAAUUUAUUAAAAUAAUAAGCUAACUAACUAAUGUAGUAAGUCCUAUCCUAUUUUGUUGGAAAAUCAACCCGUCCAUUGUUAAUUCCAUCAUGAUGAGAAAUUGAGCGGGACAAUCAAAGCAAAACAAAGAGGCUACCUGAAUUGAUCAAUGGACUGUUAUCUUAUUUCACUCAUGGGCUAGAGAAUGUGGGAUCAGAUGACAAACUGAAGGUGGUGUUCCAUUCUCUCUCUCUACAACAACGCAAUCUUACAUUAAAUACAUUCAUUCAUCAGCAAACAAAUUCCCACAAAACAAAAUUUCGUGCCGGUGCUUGGCACACGGUUGGAGGCAUGGGGAGGGGAUCUCACCAGAUGAUGAGUUCCUGCCGGAGGAGGGGAUACAUUGAGGGGAGCAAGGGUUAGGCGCCUCUAUCUGGCCAUAAGGAGUCGCCGUUGCCGCGCCAUAACCUCGGAGUUCCCCGUGUGAGCCAUGGAGGCCCGCCUCCACCUGCAAGUACUUCGCUCCGCCGCGCCUUAUCCGCACGCCGUCGCCGUUCUGCAUCGAGUAGACGCAUCAUCCCAAGUCGAUGUAGCUGUCGCGUUGAUUUGAUCCAGAAGCUGUGCUCGAGCGCCGAAACAGGGGCAACAAACGGGCAGAGGUACGACCGCGGAGGCGGCUGGGUUGAGAUCGACAACAAUGGUGGUUGAGGUCGGCCGCGGCGACGAGUGGUGUGGCAGCGGCCUGGGCACAGGCCAGGGUGGACCAGGGUCAACGCGAUGCGCUCGAGCGCCGCAACGGGGGCAGUGAGCGGGGAGAGGUACAACCGCGGAGGCGGGUGGGUUGAGAUCGGCAGCGGUGGCGGUUGAGGUCGGCCGCGACGGCGAGUGGUGUGGCGGCCGCCUAGGCAUAGGCCAGGGUGGCCGAGGGUCGAUGGGAGGAGGCGGUGCGUACGGGUAUAAUUUUUGCAGCGAAUCGUUUUUUCCUUUUGCAUUACAGAUAAAUGAUGGAGUGCGGGUUGAAUAACAAAAAUUACAGUUUUUUUAUAAAAUGCCAUGAUGGGUUUUCCGACGGAAGCAAUAGCCGCUUUAUUAUUAGGUAUAGACUAGCAAAAGGUCCGUGGUUGCAACGGAAGAAAAAAUAUCACACGGUUUUAAUUUUUAUAAUCAUUUUAAUUUAUUAAAAUAAUAAGCUAACUAACUAAUGUAGUAAGUCCUAUCCUAUUUUGUUGGAAAAUCAACCCGUCCAUUGUUAAUUCCAUCAUGAUGAGAAAUUGAGCGGGACAAUCAAAGCAAAACAAAGAGGCUACCUGAAUUGAUCAAUGGACUGUUAUCUUAUUUCACUCAUGGGCUAGAGAAUGUGGGAUCAGAUGACAAACUGAAGGUGGUGUUCCAUUCUCUCUCUCUACAACAACGCAAUCUUACAUUAAAUACAUUCAUUCAUCAGCAAACAAAUUCCCACUAAAACAAAAUUAACUUGUCGGUCGGCGUGUCGUCGACGUACGGUACGGGUCGGANNNNNNNNNNNNNNNNNNNNNNNNNNNNNNNNNNNNNNNNNNNNNNNNNNNNNNNNNNNNNNNNNNNNNNNNNNNNNNNNNNNNNNNNNNNNNNNNNNNNUGCAAGCRAUGUAACUUAGUGUAAGUUACGGGAUCUUGUAUUACGGAACGAGUAAAGAGACUUGCCGGUAAACGAGAUUAGAAAUAGGUAUGCGGAUACUGACGAUCGAAUCGUCGGGCAAGUAACAUACCGAAGGACAAAGGGAAUGACAUACGGGAUUAUACGAAUCCUUGGCACUGAGGUUCAAACGAUAAGAUCUUCGUAGAAUAUGUAGGAUCCAAUAUGGGCAUCCAGGUCCCGCUAUUGGAUAUUGACCGAGUAGUCUCUCGGGUCAUGUCUACAUAGUUCUCGAACCCGCAGGGUCUGCACACUUAAGGUUCGACGUUGUUUUAUGCGUAUUUGAGUUAUAUGGUUGGUUACCGAAUGUUGUUCGGAGUCCCGGAUGAGAUCACGGACGUCACGAGGGUUUCCGGAAUGGUCCGGAAACGAAGAUUGAUAUAUAGGAUGACCUCAUUUGAUUACUGGAAGGUUUUCGGAGUUACCGGGAAUGUACCGGGAAUGACGAAUGGGUUCCGGGAGUUCACCGGGGGGGGCAACCCACCCCGGGGAAGCCCAUAGGCCAUAAGGGUGGAGCACCAUCCCUUAGUGGGCUGGUGGGGCAGCCCAAAAGGGCCCUAUGCGCCAAGGAUAAGAAAUCAAAGGAAAAAAAGGAGGAGGUGGGAAGGGAGGGGGACUCCCUCCCACCAAACCUAGUCCAACUCGGUUUUGGGGGGGGAGAGUCCUCCCCCUUGGCUCGGCCGACCCCCUUGAGGGUCCUUGGACCCCAAGGCAAGGCCCCUCCCUCCCACCUAUAUAUACGGAGGUUUUAGGGCUGAUUUGAGACGACUUUUCCACGGCAGCCCGACCACAUACCUCCACGGNNNNNNNNNNNNNNNNNNNNNNNNNNNNNNNNNNNNNNNNNNNNNNNNNNNNNNNNNNNNNNNNNNNNNNNNNNNNNNNNNNNNNNNNNNNNNNNNNNNNGAGAUAUAGUGAGUUGACUAUUUAACCUCAUCCAAGGACCUCCUCGGUCAAAUCCGAUUCAACUAAAGUWGGAGAAACCGUCACUUGCCAGUCAUCUUUGAGCAAAGGGGGUUACUCGUAACGAUGAAACCAGUCUCUCGUAAGCGUACGAGUAAUGUCGGUCCAAGCCGCUUCAAUCCAACAAUACCGCGGAAUCAAGAAAAGACUAAGGAGGGCAGCAAAACGCACAUCACCGCCCACAAAAACUUUUGUGUUCUACUCGAGAAGACAUCUACGCAUGAACCUAGCUCAUGAUGCCACUGUUGGGGAACGUCGCAAGGGAAACAAAAAUUUUCCUACGCGCACGAAGACCUAUCAUGGUGAUGUCCAUCUACGAGAGGGGAUGAGUGAUCUACGUACCCUUGUAGACCGUACAGAAGAAGCGUUAGAGAACGCGGUUGAUGUAGUGGAACGUCCUCACGUCCCUCGAUCCGCCCCGCGAACAAUUCCGCGAUCAGUCCCACGAUCUAGUUACCGAACGGACGGCAACCUCCACGUUCAGCACACGUACAGCUUGACGAUGAUCUCGGCCUUCUUGAUCCAGCAAGAGAGGCGGAGAGGUAGAAGAGUUCUCCGGCAGCGUGACGGCGCUCCGGAGGUUCGGUUGACUGACCCUUCGUUCCUACGUACGUCCGACGGGCGUCCCGUCCCGGACGCUGNNNNNNNNNNNNNNNNNNNNNNNNNNNNNNNNNNNNNNNNNNNNNNNNNNNNNNNNNNNNNNNNNNNNNNNNNNNNNNNNNNNNNNNNNNNNNNNNNNNNAGCAAUGUAACUUAAUGUAAGUUGCGGGAUCUUGUAUUACGGAACGAGUAAAGAGACUUGCCGGUAAACGAGAUUGAAAUAGGUAUGCGGAUACUGACGAUCGAAUCUCGGGCAAGUAACAUACCGAAGGACAAAGGGAAUGACAUACGGGAUUAUAUGAAUCCUUGGCACUGAGGUUCAAACGAUAAGAUCUUCGUAGAAUAUGUAGGAUCCAAUAUGGGCAUCCAGGUCCCGCUAUUGGAUAUUGACCGAGGAGUCUCUCGGGUCAUGUCUACAUAGUUCUCGAACCCGCAGGGUCUGCACACUUAAGGUUCGACGUUGUUUUAUGCGUAUUUGAGUUAUAUGGUUGGUUACCGGUAMUGUAGCAUCAUUCCCACUCUUCUUUUGUACUGAUUUUGUUUUUUUUCAGAUUUCUUCAUUUCAUUGUUUCCACUGUUUCGCUUUGGUUUCCUUCGAUUUUCUUCGGGUUUCUAUUCGUUUCCUUYGUUUYCYAACGGUUUUUCGUUUUUCCUCUUUGUUGUUUCUUUCUUUUUUUUCUAUGGUUUUGCAUCUUUUUUAACUCAUGUCUAUUUUUUUACACACAAUGUACAUUUUUUGUAUACAUCAGAAAUAACUUUUAUACAUGGUUAAAUAUAUGAUUACCAGUUUUCUUAAACACAUGUUUCGANNNNNNNNNNNNNNNNNNNNNNNNNNNNNNNNNNNNNNNNNNNNNNNNNNNNNNNNNNNNNNNNNNNNNNNNNNNNNNNNNNNNNNNNNNNNNNNNNNNNCGGAACGAAACGUAAAACUAAAACUUACCGUACGACCGACCGAACGAACGUAACCUACUACUAGUGGUGAUCGUCCAUCUACGAGGAGGGAGUGAGUGAUCUACGUACCUAGUAGAUCGUACAGCAGAAGCGUUAGAGAACGCGGUUGAUGUAGUGGAACGUCCUCACGUCCCUCGAUCCGCCCCGCGAACAAUCCCGCGAUCAGUCCCACGAUCUAGUACCGAACGGACGGCACCUCCGCGUUCAGCACACGUACAGCUCGACGAUGAUCUCGGCCUUCUUGAUCCAGCAAGAGAGACGGAGAGGUAGAAGAGUUCUCCGGCAGCGUGACGGCGCUCCGGAGGUUGGUGAUGAUCUUGUCUCAGCAGGGCUCCGCCCGAGCUCCGCAGAAACACGAUCUAGAGGAAAAACUAUGGAGGUAUGUGGUCGGGCAGCCGUGAGAAAGUCGUCUCAAAUCAGCCCUAAUACCUCAGUAUAUAUAGGAGGGAGGGGAGGGAAGAGGCAGCCUCAAACCCUCAAGGUUGCCGAAAUUGGAGGUGGAGGAGUCCUACUCCAAUCCUACUUGAGUAGGAUUCCACCUUCCCACUUCGAAACUACUUUCCUACCUUGUGUUUUUCUUUCUUCUAACCUUAACUUAGGUCCGUUACGUUGGGUACGUUAGUUACUACGNNNNNNNNNNNNNNNNNNNNNNNNNNNNNNNNNNNNNNNNNNNNNNNNNNNNNNNNNNNNNNNNNNNNNNNNNNNNNNNNNNNNNNNNNNNNNNNNNNNNAAGGGUUGGGUUUGAGGGAUUCUGUUAUAAGGGUUGCAUUUGAGGGUUCUAGUCUUUGCCUCAAUCCCAACCCUUAAAACUGUCAUUUGAUAUAUCAUAAUUUUCAUCAUCUCAAUAACAUCGAAUAGUAUUUUCAAACACAUAAUAUUAAUUCAAUUUAUUACAACAAUGUUUUAAAGCAAAUUAUAAUAAUUGUUUGAAUCAAAUAGAACAUGGAAAAGUAAACAAAGGUAGAUCAUGGGACUUGGCGCCGUCCAGCCAACUGCCACUGGUGCUCUACUUGAUCAUCCCGGAGCUGCCACUGGUACGCACUAAACCCCAUGAUACCGACGGCGUAUCUACGAUGCUUGAAGUAAUCUGAGUCAGCCUCACAAUCGGUGACAAUUUUUACAAACAAACUACGACACAUUCGGUACCUUCUCCGGAAGAGGCGAGGUGGGUAUGUCGGUACCUCCGCGAAGUAGUCUCGCAUCAAAUGUUCAUGUCCGAGACAGCGGUUCCGGUAGAUGGUGACUCGCGCCAUCUUCGACCCUCUCCUCUGAUCCAUCAGCUUCACGCGGUCUUCAAACUCUUUCACGUCGACGAGGAGGCCCAUCAUCUCGAUGUCAUUGUCUUGAAGCAAGUCCUCAAUGUCCGAAUCGUCCGAUGACGACCAACCGGAAUCAUCGGACAACACAUCCAUCUACACAACACAAAACAAAAAAUGUAGUGUUGUUCUGUAACAAAAAUACAGGAAACAGGGCCGGCCGGAGCCCACGAUGGAGGAGGCCGACGGUGUGGACGAGCUCAGGGCGGUGGAGGAGCUCGGGGNNNNNNNNNNNNNNNNNNNNNNNNNNNNNNNNNNNNNNNNNNNNNNNNNNNNNNNNNNNNNNNNNNNNNNNNNNNNNNNNNNNNNNNNNNNNNNNNNNNNUUUUUUUUUUUUUUUUUACAACAGUUUGCACUUUGCAGCGGCCUAGAUAUCACAGCAGGAACCGGUCUCCCUCCCUCGGUUAUUCAGCGCCUUUUUUUAGACGAAGGUUUAUCGUUCAGCAGCCAACAAGACUCUGUCCCGCGUACCGGCGUGGAAGUUUCCACCCGCACGGCAACCUCCCCAACAACCGCGCCAUCACGUCGCCGGCUCGCCGGCAGUGGUACAUAUACCUCCUCCCCCCCCACCUCCUCCUCUCACCACCACCAGCUCCCAGCACCACCAUCUCCAUCGCCUCCCGCGCUCCAUUUCGCGCCUCGAACCUCGUGCUCUGACCUCCACCGCUGCCAUGGCGCGGCCAGGCCACUCCACGGCGUGGCUCCCCGUCCUGGUGCUGCUGCUCUCCGCGGCGGGCGCGACGGCGCAGAGCUGCCUCUCCGCGACCUUCACGUCCGGCCGCACGUUCCUCAAGUGCAACCAGCUGCCCGUGCUCGGCGCCAGCCUCCACUGGACGUUCCACGCCCAGAACGGCACCGCCGACGUCGCGUUCCGGGCCCCGUCCGGCGCCGACGGGUGGGUCGCCUGGGGCAUCNNNNNN